Molecule: unclassified non-coding RNA, 322 nt
Filed under: Hevea brasiliensis (rubber tree)
Lineage: Eukaryota; Viridiplantae; Streptophyta; Magnoliopsida; Malpighiales; Euphorbiaceae
Source: RNAcentral
UUUUUUUCUUUUACCCAUGUUUGGCCAAGGGUGAAUACAACUACACAGAUGGAGCUAUAUGUAUCAUGGAAAUUUCUUGAAAGUCGUGUUACAAAUAAUUCUUACAAAAUUGAAGUGCUUUUAAAUGUUUAACCAUAGAAUAAACCUUCUUUUACCAAUUAUUAAGAAGAUCAAAAUAUUACAAUCUGUUUAUAUAGUAUGUUAUGAAAGAAAACUGAGCUUAAAUUUCAACAUAGCAAAACUAAGUAAUAGCAUGCAAUCUAGUUAUAUGCCCCUUUUGGUUUAGUGAUAAUCUUUUAUGGUGCUAAGCAGAAAGAGGAAG